CAGAGAGAUAGAGAGAGAGAGAGAGAGGAAGUAGAAGCCGUUUAGCGAUAUUUCACGGAGCUCUCGUUCGUAAGGGUUUCUAGCCGCGCACGGUAUUACCGGAGCCAGUCUUGCAAACUCGAGAUAAGGGCGGACCCGGUUCCCAGUUCCCGACACCGGCAACCGUCGUAGCUAAGGAGACGAGGUGCAUUCUCGUGCAGGGGGCAGAAGAGGACAGGAGGAUCCUCUAGG
Long non-coding RNA from Apis dorsata (giant honeybee), 231 nucleotides. RefSeq lists it as uncharacterized. The transcript is spliced from 2 exons. NCBI's taxonomy places the organism in Eukaryota, Metazoa, Arthropoda, Insecta, Hymenoptera, Apidae. The record is from RefSeq and is a predicted model, not a curated record.